RNAcentral lists this ribosomal RNA (495 nucleotides) under uncultured bacterium. RNAcentral's name for it is "partial 16S ribosomal RNA". It matches the Rfam family "Bacterial small subunit ribosomal RNA", at positions 28 to 507 of the family's 1533-position model. The record is from RNAcentral.
GACGAACGCUGGCGGCGUGCCUAAUACAUGCAAGUAGAACGCUGAAGGAGGAGCUUGCUUCUCUGGAUGAGUUGCGAACGGGUGAGUAACGCGUAGGUAACCUGCCUGGUAGCGGGGGAUAACUAUUGGAAACGAUAGCUAAUACCGCAUAAGAGUAGAUGUUGCAUGACAUUUGCUUAAAAGGUGCAAUUGCAUCACUACCAGAUGGACCUGCGUUGUAUUAGCUAGUUGGUGGGGUAACGGCUUACCAAGGCGACGAUACAUAGCCGACCUGAGAGGGUGAUCGGCCGCACUGGGACUGAGACACGGCCCAGACUCCUACGGGAGGCAGCAGUAGGGAAUCUUCGGCAAUGGACGGAAGUCUGACCGAGCAACGCCGCGUGAGUGAAGAAGGUUUUCGGAUCGUAAAGCUCUGUUGUAAGAGAAGAACGAGUGUGAGAGUGGAAAGUUCACACUGUGACGGUAUCUUACCAGAAAGGGACGGCUAACUACGUG